RNAcentral lists this ribosomal RNA (1469 nucleotides) under uncultured Bordetella sp. RNAcentral describes it as "partial 16S-23S ribosomal RNA intergenic spacer". It matches the Rfam family "Bacterial small subunit ribosomal RNA". The record is from RNAcentral. Lineage: Bacteria; Pseudomonadati; Pseudomonadota; Betaproteobacteria; Burkholderiales; Alcaligenaceae.
GGUUUGAUCAUGGCUCAGAUUGAACGCUGGCGGGAUCACUUUACAUGCAAGUCGAACGGCAGCACGGACUUCGGUCUGGUGGCGAGUGGCGAACGGGUGAGUAUCGGAACGUGCCUAGUAGCGGGGGAUAACUACGCGAAAGCGUAGCUAAUACCACACAUACGCCCUUCGGGGAAAGCGGGGGACCUUCGGGCCUCGCACUAUUAGAGCGGCCGAUAUCGGAUUAGCUAGUUGGUGGGGUAACGGCUCGCAAGGCGACGAUCCGUAGCUGGUUUGAGAGGACGACCAGCCACACUGGGACUGAGACACGGCCCAGACUCCUACGGGAGGCAGCAGUGAAAUUUUGGACAAUGGGGAAACCCUGAUCCAGCCAUCCCGCGUGUGCGAUGAAGGCCUUCGGGUUGUAAAGCACUUUUGGCAGGAAAGAAACGGCACGGGAUAAUACCCCGUGCAACUGACAGUACCUGCAGAAUAAGCACCAGUAACUACGUGCCAGCAGCCGCGGUAAUACGUAAGUGCAAGCGUUAAUCGGAAUUACUGGGCGUAAAGCGUGCGCAGGCGGUUCGGAAAGAGAAAGAUGUGAAAUCCCAGAGCAACUUUGGAACUGCAUUUUUAACUACCGAGCUAGAGUGUGUCAGAGGGAGGUGGAAUUCCGCGAUAGCAGUGAAAUGCGUAGAUAUGCGGAGGAACACCGAUGGCGAAGGCAGCCUCCUGGGAUAACACUGACGCUCAUGCGGCAGUAAGGAGCAAACGGGAUUAGAUACCCUGGUAGUCCACGCCCUAAACGAUGUCAACUAGCUGUUGGGGCCUUCGGGCCUUGGUAGCGCAACUAACGCGUGAGAUUGACCGCCUGGGGAUACGGUCGCAAGAUUAAAACUCAAAAGGAAUUGACGGGGACCCGCACAAGCGGUGGAUGAUGUGGAUUAAUUCGAUGCAACGCGAAAAACCUUACCUACCCUUGACAUGUCUGGAAUCCCGAAGAGAUUUGGGAGUGCUCGCAAGAGAACCGGAACACAGGUGCUGCAUGGCUGUCGUCAGCUCGUGUCGUGAGAUGUUGGGGUUAAGUCCACCAACGAGCGCAACCCUUGUCAUUAGUUGCUACGAAAGGGCACUCUAAUGAGACUGCCGGUGACAAACCGGAGGAAGGUGGGGAUGACGUCAAGUCCUCAUGGCCAUAUGGGUAGGGCUUCACACGUCAUACAAUGGUCGGGACAGAGGGUCGCCAACCCGCGAGAGGGAGGCCAAUCCCAGAAACCCGAUCGUAGUCCGGAUCACCAGUCUGCAACUCGACUGCGUGAAGUCAGAUCGCUAGUAAUCGCGGAUCAGCAUGUCGCAGUGAAUACGUUCCCGGGUCAGCACACACCGCCGUCACACCAUGGGAGUGGGUUUUACCAAGUAGUUAGCCUAACCGUAAGGAGGGCGAUUACCACGGUAGGAUUCAUGACUGGGUGAAGUCGUAACAAAGGUAG